This is a long non-coding RNA of Mya arenaria, 423 nucleotides long. RefSeq lists it as uncharacterized. The transcript is spliced from 4 exons. NCBI's taxonomy places the organism in Eukaryota, Metazoa, Mollusca, Bivalvia, Myida, Myidae. The record is from RefSeq and is a predicted model, not a curated record.
GGAAAAGUCGGAUAAGGAACUACAAGCUACGGGAAGGAAUCGGCUUUUGACGAAAAAGAACAGGAAACACGCAGAUAUACCAGGUGAUUUCAACAGACCACGUCUUUUUCUCUUUUUGAAACCAGGCGAAUCUGAUUACAUCAAUGCGAUAUAUAUCGACAGUUUCAAAAGAAAAAAACCGAUUCCUGGUUGCUCAAACACCUCUGCCUAACACAGUUUCAGAUUUCGCCGCACUUGCUGUUCAAGAAAACUGUUCCUGUAUAGUUAGUAUGGAGGCACGCAAAGCAUAAGGGAAUGGUCGGCUUAUACUUUCCUGUUGACAAUCGAACAAUAAAGGAGAGUUUUGACUCUGUACCAUCAAACCACGAUCAAAGUGCAAGAAACUUUGUAAAACGAUUGCUGCAUAUUGAAGGCGAAGAAAAG